UGUUGAGGUAUCAGGAACUGAGAGAUGUUAAGCAAUCUAAUAUCCAGCUAGUAAGUCUCAGAGGAAGAUCUGGCUGCCACAUUGUUUUAAUGACAUCAUGCUCUUAAGUGCUAAAAACAAGAUCAUAAGGACCACGGAAGACAAACUAGAAAACAAAAAGGCUGAACAGGAAGGAAGGUUUAAAUGGUGGUCAUGAUGCAUUCAUUCACUUCCUCAAGGCUGCAAGGAGGAAGUGGUAUAAACAUGACAAAUGUAAAAUUGGCCACUAUAAAUCAUGUUCCUAGAGGCUGCAUCUAUACACAUCCGCAUAAAAUAAAAAUAAUUCCAC
This is a long non-coding RNA of Nyctereutes procyonoides (raccoon dog), 328 nucleotides long. RefSeq lists it as uncharacterized. The record is from RefSeq and is a predicted model, not a curated record. The transcript has 4 exons. NCBI's taxonomy places the organism in Eukaryota, Metazoa, Chordata, Mammalia, Carnivora, Canidae.